AAGUCGUAACAAGGUUUCCGUAGGUGAACCUGCGGAAGGAUCAUUACCUUUCAAUGCAGAAGAGUUGAGAUGGUUGAGUAUCUCGCCUCUCAAUUCUCGCUGUAUUUUACCCUUGUUUUUCUCAUACUAUAUUAUUUCCUCGGCAGGCUCGCCUGCCGGGUGAAACAACUUCAAACCUGUUUAAUUUUCAAUCAGCGUCUGAACAAAUUAAUAAUUACAACUUUCAACAACGGAUCUCUUGGUUCUG
Molecule: unclassified non-coding RNA, 247 nt
Filed under: Leptosphaeria sp.
Lineage: Eukaryota; Fungi; Ascomycota; Dothideomycetes; Pleosporales; Leptosphaeriaceae
Also listed under: 1 other name
Description: partial internal transcribed spacer region
Rfam family: Eukaryotic small subunit ribosomal RNA (bases 1-46)
Source: RNAcentral